UUAAUAAAACUCAUUACUCUGGGAAUGUUCCGAGGCAGCCCGACCCUUGCCUGCCUAAGAAAAUCAGCCUCUGCUCCUCAUUCUAAGCCCUUAUCCAACGUCCCCACCUGCAAGACCAGUUCCUGAGGGUCGGCAUGAAGAAGAGGAAAAGCACGUGGAGGAUAGAGUAAAAUACGUAGACUAAGAGAGAAAGUAGGAUGCGGUGAUGGAAGUGAGAGCCGCUUGGAAAAAACUGGGAGAGAGGAGGAGGAGGUGGCGCUUGGAGCAGCAAAGACUCUGCGGUGUGUGCGCGUGCGCGCGAGAAAGAAUGGGGAAAGUAAUAGAUACUCGAAAGGCUGACUGGGUUGAUGAAUGGAAUUCCCCUCCGUAAUUUUUGGAGUCAUAAUUUUUGCCCCUUGGACUGUGCUUCUUGAAGUGCAGCGUGCCUGGAGCCCGGGCCGUGGGGCCACUCGGCUACGGAUGCUAUGUGAUCUAACCAGGACCCAGGAAGGGGCCCUCUGGCUGCAGUGAGAGAGGGGUACACGGGGCGACACGCAGUGUUCUCAGGAGGGCGGCACAGCUGCUGCAGGUGAGAAGUGCUGGGGACGGUCGAGAUCACUGGACGCCCUCAGAAAUGGUACUGCGGCUGGAGAAAUCAUUAACGAGGAAAGAAAUAACCCAAUUUCCGGGAGGCUGGGACAGGAGAAUUGCUUGAACCCGGGAGCAGAGGUUGCCGGGAGCCGAGAUCGCGCCACUGCACUCCAGCCUGGGCGACAGAGCGAGAUUCCGUCUCAAAAAAAAAAAAGAAAAGAAAAGAAAAGAAAGGAAAAGAAAAGAAGAGAAAAGAAAGAAACACCCAAUUUCAGAAAGAGAUGAGAAUGGAGAGCUCAGAAGACACAAUUUCUCUCUCACACUUCUGCCUUCUGGCCACAUCCUCCCAGACAGGAUAAAUUUGAAGGUGGUUCCCCCACGCCCCGCUAAAGAAAGUCACCCCUCCAGCCCCCACUUCACCCAAGAUCUUCCCCGUGGGAAUGAACUGAAACAUCGAGAUUUUUCUGUGGUGAUCGAACUGGAGGACUCUAACUUUCACUUACAAGAUCUAUUCAUGUUUGCAACAACAUAUCAUGAUGGGUGGAGAAUACUAAUACCAAAGGACUGAGUCUCUUUAAAUUUGACCAACUGACUUAGCAGGCAGCUGGUGCCUUGGUUCCUUUCUAUCCCUCAUGCUUAAGAUAACUUGACAAGACACUGAGGGAUAUUUUGAACCUUUCAGGCCUAAAAGCUGUGAUUUGGAUGGAAUUAAUAAAAUGGCAAGGUCUUGUUUUCCAGAGCUAUCUCCAACUUUGCCACCUGAGAAACACAAGUCCAAGUCCAAUACUUACAGAAGAAAUAACUAUUCCACCUAGUCAAGGAACUAGCCAACACUUAAUGGAGGAUUGCCCUUGGUUAUAGAGCUAACUGCAAAUGAAGUAACUAGAGGAAGACCAUUUACCUUCUCCAUUGAAGAGACCAUUCAAGAGCCAACUCAGCAAUCAGGGUCUAGCAGUGUUACUGACUGGAUGACUGGCACUUAGAGUCCAGCACCCUGCUGAGAAACCAGCAACCCAUGUGAGGAUUCCAUGGCCAACUGAGAUCACAAGACUCUUGAACAGAAGAAAUGCCAAGAGAGCUAGAAUCUUACAGAUGGUGGUAUUAAUAAUGGAGCAAACUAGAACCAAUGACAAAGACAUGAAGUCUGAAAAUAGCACAGAGAAUAUAAAUAUUGUGAGAUGAAUGUUCCCCCUUCAAUUCUCCUUAUUUGCCAAAUAUUUUCAUUUCCUUUUGUCAUUAUAGAAAAUAAAACCAUGCAUCACAGUCAAAAGUGCUCCACUAGCAACAUUGUAUGAUUCACUCUUUUUGUCAUACAUGUCUUUAGUAAUUGAUGGAUAUUAAAAUCACACAGACUAUUUAAUAAGGGCUUAUUUUACUUGCAUCGCCACUUUGAUUCAAAAAAAGAUUUAAGGUAGUUAAUAAGGUUAGAAGGAAAGAGAGUUAACAAAGACAAGAACUUUAACUAGAGUCAAAACUAAAGUCAAUAUUUAAGAAAUAAACACCACAUAGUCUCCCACGCUUUCUC
Molecule: long non-coding RNA, 2095 nt
Filed under: Homo sapiens (human)
Lineage: Eukaryota; Metazoa; Chordata; Mammalia; Primates; Hominidae
Description: HSALNT0121797
Source: RNAcentral